RNAcentral lists this ribosomal RNA (301 nucleotides) under uncultured bacterium. RNAcentral's name for it is "partial 16S ribosomal RNA". It matches the Rfam family "Bacterial small subunit ribosomal RNA", at positions 509 to 807 of the family's 1533-position model. The record is from RNAcentral.
CAGCAGCCACGGGAAUACGAAGGGGGCUAGCGUUGUUCGGAUUUACUGGGCGUAAAGCGCACGUAGGCGGACUUUUAAGUCAGGGGUGAAAUCCCGGGGCUCAACCCCGGAACUGCCUUUGAUACUGGAAGUCUUGAGUAUGGUAGAGGUGAGUGGAAUUCCGAGUGUAGAGGUGAAAUUCGUAGAUAUUCGGAGGAACACCAGUGGCGAAGGCGGCUCACUGGACCAUUACUGACGCUGAGGUGCGAAAGCGUGGGGAGCAAACAGGAUUAGAUACCCGCGUAGUCCCUGUCUCUUAUAC